This is a long non-coding RNA of Xiphophorus couchianus (Monterrey platyfish), 383 nucleotides long. RefSeq lists it as uncharacterized. Lineage: Eukaryota; Metazoa; Chordata; Actinopteri; Cyprinodontiformes; Poeciliidae. The record is from RefSeq and is a predicted model, not a curated record. The transcript has 2 exons.
UUGCAACACAGUCUGUUUUUCUUCUGCUGUUGUUGAACCUUCAAACUAGAAUCUAUUGCUUGUUUAAAGCUAAACAUGCUGUAUGUAUUGAUGUAUAUAUGUGUUGCUAAAACACUUGUCUAUUUUAAAUAUCACUGGGUGUUGGAAAAGAAAAGGCUGAAUUAUUGGAUUAUUCCUGUAGCUGUGCAGCUGGUAAAGGAUUUUGCAAUCAUGUAGUUGCACUUCUUUACCAAACUGCACACUACUGCCAACUCCAGCUGCCAACUGAUCCUCCUGCACAAGUGAUUUACAAAAAUGGCACAGACCAAGAACACAGGGGAAACAUCCUGAACCUGUCAGCGACGUGGUGGGGAAAAGAUAUCUGCACUCCACACUUUAUAAUA